CAGCCGCCGCGGGAAUACGUAGGGUGCGAGCGUUAAUCGGAAUUACUGGGCGUAAAGCGUGCGCAGGCGGUUAUAUAAGACAGAUGUGAAAUCCCCGGGCUCAACCUGGGACCUGCAUUUGUGACUGUAUAGCUAGAGUACGGUAGAGGGGGAUGGAAUUCCGCGUGUAGCAGUGAAAUGCGUAGAUAUGUGGAGGAAUACCGAUGGCGAAGGCAGCCCCCUGGGAUAACACUGACGCUCAUGCACGAAAGCGUGGGGAGCAAACAGGAUUAGAUACCCCGGUAGUCCCUGUCUCUUAUAC
Molecule: ribosomal RNA, 301 nt
Filed under: uncultured bacterium
Lineage: Bacteria
Description: partial 16S ribosomal RNA
Rfam family: Bacterial small subunit ribosomal RNA
Source: RNAcentral